Molecule: ribosomal RNA, 720 nt
Filed under: uncultured Lachnospiraceae bacterium
Lineage: Bacteria; Bacillati; Bacillota; Clostridia; Lachnospirales; Lachnospiraceae
Description: bacterial SSU rRNA
Rfam family: Bacterial small subunit ribosomal RNA
Source: RNAcentral
CAAGUCGAGCGAAGCACUUUACUUUGAUUCUUUCGGGAUGAAAAGUUUUGUGACUGAGCGGCGGACGGGUGAGUAACGCGUGGGUAACCUGCUUCAUACAGGGGGAUAACAGUUAGAAAUGACUGCUAAUACCGCAUAAGACCACAGUAUCGCAUGAUACAGAGGUAAAAACUCCGGUGGUAUGAGAUGGACCCGCGUCUGAUUAGCUAGUUGGUAAGGUAACGGCUUACCAAGGCAACGAUCAGUAGCCGACCUGAGAGGGUGACCGGCCACAUUGGGACUGAGACACGGCCCAAACUCCUACGGGAGGCAGCAGUGGGGAAUAUUGCACAAUGGGGGAAACCCUGAUGCAGCGACGCCGCGUGAGCGAAGAAGUAUUUCGGUAUGUAAAGCUCUAUCAGCAGGGAAGAAACUGACGGUACCUGACUAAGAAGCACCGGCUAAAUACGUGCCAGCAGCCGCGGUAAUACGUAUGGUGCAAGCGUUAUCCGGAUUUACUGGGUGUAAAGGGAGCGUAGACGGAGUGGCAAGUCUGGAGUGAAAACCCAGGGCUCAACCCUGGGACUGCUUUGGAAACUGUCAAUCUAGAGUGCUGGAGAGGUAAGUGGAAUUCCUAGUGUAGCGGUGAAAUGCGUAGAUAUUAGGAGGAACACCAGUGGCGAAGGCGGCUUACUGGACAGUGACUGACGUUGAGGCUCGAAAGCGUGGGGAGCAAACAGG